GACGUAGGGUGCAAGCGUUGUCCGGAAUUAUUGGGCGUAAAGAGUUCGUAGGCGGUUACCUAAGUCUGGUGUUAAAGCCCAGCGCUCAACGUUGGCAUGGCAUUGGAAACUGGGUGGCUAGAGUGUGUCAGAGGUCACGGGAAUUCCUGGUGUAGCGGUGAAAUGCGUAGAUAUCAGGAGGAACACCGGUGGCGAAAGCGCGUGACUGGGGCAUAACUGACGCUGAGGAACGAAAGCCAGGGUAGCAAAAGGGAUUAGAUACCCCUGUAGUCCUGGCCGUAAACGAUGGAUACUAGGUGUUGGAGGAUUCGACCCCUUCAGUGCCGUAGCUAACGCGAUAAGUAUCCCGCCUGGGGAGUACGACCGCAAGGUUGAA
This 376-nucleotide ribosomal RNA is filed under the name uncultured bacterium. RNAcentral describes it as "bacterial SSU rRNA". It matches the Rfam family "Bacterial small subunit ribosomal RNA", at positions 524 to 898 of the family's 1533-position model. The record is from RNAcentral.